This is a long non-coding RNA of Brassica rapa (field mustard), 3579 nucleotides long. RefSeq lists it as uncharacterized. NCBI's taxonomy places the organism in Eukaryota, Viridiplantae, Streptophyta, Magnoliopsida, Brassicales, Brassicaceae. The record is from RefSeq and is a predicted model, not a curated record.
AAAGAACGAGAAUCUUUUGAUCUAUUUUAUUAAUUCACCAUUUAAUAAGGGUAAGAAGAGCUCAACACAUGUAUGAUUAGGUAAUGACAUUAGGGUUUGCAUGAUAUAAUUAAUGUAUUUGGUUACAUCGUGUACUAAUACACAUUUUAGGUUUGACUUUGUAGGUGAUCGUAAACCAACGAUCACGUUUUCUUGAAAACUGAUGAUUUUUUCACCACUCAAUUAAUUUGAUUUAGUUUAGGUUAUACUAGAGAAAAUUAAAGGAGACGUGAUUUUUAAUCUUCUCGUUUUGGUUUAUCAGCUUUCUUUAUUUUUCUGGGCUUUGGUAAGCAACUCGUGACUCUUCUGAUCUAAUUUGCUUCUUCUUUUUUUAAUUGCAUGCAUGGUGAAGAAAGUUUUAAAGAGUGAAUUGAUUAGUCCCACAAGAAAGAAAUAUAGUUUCUUGUGCAUUUUGUUUAUAGCCUGCCCGGUUACAUUUUGUACUUUUUACAUUUUAAACUGUUUUAAAGUACGUAUAUAUAACAAUUUUCCUUCUAACACCCCAACAAAAUUGUUGAAAUUCGAAUAUUAACAAAAACUAUGUUCAGUAGACAAAAAAAAAACAUGAUGAAUUAUGUGCAUGCACAAAUCUCAAGUAGGAUGAGAUGUCAUGGCAUUCAUGAGAUGUGAAAGUCAAAGGGAGCUGACUUGUGUACUCUGCAAAUAAUAAAUACAUAAAAUAAUGUAUGUGAACAUAUGCUUCACAUAUAUAGUACUAUAUACAGAUUAUGCAAAUAGGUAACCCUAAAUCAUCACACACGUAGCAAUAGCAUCAUCAAAUAUAUGUAUAUAACUCUGGAAAGGGGCUGAACGCGAAAACCUUGUGAUAGACAUACCCUUUUCACCUAUUCUUAUUUUAUAUAUGAUAAAAAUAUACGUUUUGUACAUUGUUAAACUGAUUUUUCUCUAUAUAUUUGUUUAAUAUUAAGUUAUACUCCUUUGGGUUGAAAACAAGUUUUGUAAAAUAUUUGCUAGCUUUGGUUUGCAUUUUUAUAAGAUGUUUUCUUCUAAGUCUUCUAGACUGCAUAUAAUGCAAUAAACUACAUUUGAUAUUUUCUUAUAGUAAAAAGGAUAUUUUCUUAUAUUGCAGCACAUUGACUGUUAAAUUGCGAAAAAUGAACAUGUGUGUAACAAAAUGGAACAACUGUAAAUGUCAGAUAAGGAGUAGAUGGCCUGCCAACUUCAGUAUGCAAAGUGCAUUUAUAACUCAGCGUUGACUCUCUUCUUUUCUUAGUGAGACAACUCAAAUGAGGCGAAAACUAGACAACUAUGCCAAUAAUUCUUUUAUACUGUUGUAAAUUAUAUACACAUGAUGAAAUCAUGAUUAUGCAUUUAAUUUUCGGUACUAAUUGCCUCCCAACCUAAUUUUUCAAAAGCAUUUACUAUCGUAGUUGGCUUAUUUCUUUAGACAAAUUUACAAAAACCAAACUAGAAGUCACUGAAGAAUGUUGCCCAAGAAAAAUAUAAAUCUAUUAAAAGAAAAAAAUUAUACUUCAUCCGUUUUUAAAUAAUGUAUACUUUAGCAUUUUUUACUUGUUUCUAAAAAAUCAAUAUUUUAGAUUUUCUAUGUAUUUUUAAUAAUGAAUUGUAAACUUCAAAAAAAUAUUAAUUGACAAUUUUAGAUUUAUUGAAUUGCUAUUGGUUUAAAUUUACGGGAAACUGUUAUAAUUUAAAAAAAAUAAUGAAUCAAUAGUUAAAUAUUAAAUUUUUCUUAAUAUUUGUGAAAAAUCUAAAGCAUGCAUUAUUUAGGAACAGAGGAAGUAAGUUAUAACCUGGUAUUUGGUAGAAAUUUCUCGUUGAAUUUGUGUUUUUGUUGCAAAUAGUAAGUUUAUCUACUUUAGAUGUUUUUUUUCAAAAGUACACGUUUUGUUAAAACUGAGGCCUUGAUCGACUAGAUUAUUGAUCAAAUUCAAUAUUUUAUUAAUAAAAAUGUAUUUUAUCAGAUGGAAUUGUUAAAUGAAAUACCUUCUCCAUCUGGAUUUAACAUUGUCUGUUCGUUAAAUUUUAACAAGCUUUCCACACGGAGUAUGGCUUUUUGGACAAGCCAUUUCUUUCCCAUUUAUUAGGUUAUGAAUUUUAUAUUUGGGUUAUUUGAUUUUUUUCUUACUUGAUUUAGUUUUUGACGGGAGGUUGUUAAAAAUUUGUUUGGUUUGAAUAUAUAUAAUUGAGUAUAAGAGUAUUUAUGUAUUAUUAGAUGUUAUAUUAAUAUAUUUAUCCCAAAUAAUAAGAGAAGUAUACAUAUUAUUUUAAUAUUGUAUUUGUUAUUAUAGUUGAAGAUUAAGUAAAUCAUCUUAUACAAAUAAAUGAUUAUAAUUUUCAGAAUAAAUGUAACUGAUUAGUUUCAAAAUAUAAGUUUUUAAAAGUUUUUUUGAAUAUUUUUUAAUAUAAAUCAAAUUUGGAUGUAGUUUUCAUUAUUUUUGUUAAUUUUUUAAGGUUGAUGACCGAAAAAGAGAAAAUUCCCUGAGAUUCAUUUUUCGCUGAUCCUUCUGUGAUGAAAUGUGAGAACAAAUCAAAACGUAUAUAUUCUUUUUAUUCUUAUGAAUUUUGUUCUUUAGUGUUAUAAUUGUUGUGAGUUAUAUCAUGUGAUUUUAAUAAAUUAUUUUAGCGGCUACAUCAAUGUUAAAUGUUAUUUAGUUGAAAUAUACAUUAUUAUAAAAUACUUAUAGAAUAUUAUCUGUUCUACUAAUAUAUUUGGUUUAGAUAAUAGUAAUAUAAAAUAUGUGGAGCAUUUACAAAUUUUUAAAUUGUUCGAGGAUGUGUUAAAUUCUUAUAAAACACUUGAUGAGGUAGCAUCAUAUAAGAAUAGAUCAGGUUCUACUUUGUACAUAUAGAUACCUAACAAAAUAAAAUAAACGUUCUUGGUUAAAUAUUUAAAUUUAAACUUUAUAUUAUUUAUGGAAUACUGGAAUAGUAAACUAUAUAUAUUGCAUGAUAUCGGUUAACAUGAUUUCUUUCAUGAGGAAAAAAGUAUAUAUGUAUUAAUUGCGGUUGAUACAGUGUAUGAUUCUUUUCUCAAAAAAAAAUAAACUUCAUAAAGAACAAAAUCAAUCACUCAUAAAAGGUUAUUUUUUGAAUUAAUUCUGUUUAGUUAUUUUUGAUAUUCAUCUAUAUAAAUAGUUCAUUGGGACAUAGUUUUUCUUUCAUGUAGUUGUGGAGAAAUAUAUCUCAUAUAAAAGUAAACACAAACAAAUUAUAUAAGAAAAAUGUCUUCAUCCAAGCUUCACUUUGUUGUUCUUCUGAUCAUUGUUGCACUUCUUGCUAACAAUGGACAAUCAACUCGAGUAAUGGAUGAUAAGUUUCCAGAAUGCGAAUUCAAAGGACCCUGCCAGAUGAAAAGCGAUUGUUUGGGGACAUGUGGAGGCAAACCUGAAAAUGCUUUGUGUAUACCUAAUCCUAGCGUAGACAGCCUUCAAUGUUGUUGUCUUUCAAACUAAUUUGAUUCAAAUUAUAUUAUACUAUUGAAAUAAGCAGUGAUGUUUUAUCAAUAAUUUCAAACGCUCCAGCAUGGAUUUCAUUAAACGAAUUAAGGAUAAUUAAAUA